Long non-coding RNA from Callorhinchus milii (elephant shark), 447 nucleotides. RefSeq lists it as uncharacterized. The transcript has 2 exons. The record is from RefSeq and is a predicted model, not a curated record. Lineage: Eukaryota; Metazoa; Chordata; Chondrichthyes; Chimaeriformes; Callorhinchidae.
CAACCUGUCCGGCAUCAAACAAAUUGUGAGUGUCAGUGGGUUAUACUCACUGUGUUUACUCUGAUCCCUGUCAUGUCUCUGUGUCUCUGAUCUCAAGGCUGAACAGUAACAGUCUGACCGAUGUCUGCACUGAUGAUCUGGUCUCCGCUCUCAGUACAAACCGCUCACUGAGGUUCCUGAACCUGGAGUCUAACACCUUCACAGACGGCUCUGUACCCGCUCUCCGCCGCCUCAUACAGACCUGCACCAGUCUGGAGGGGAUCUGGCUUUUGGAGAAUAGGUUCAGUUCAGACGGAGAGAAUCAGUUGGAGUCACUGCGGGGAAUCAGACCUGGACUGUCAGUGUCAGUGUGACACUGACUGAGGCAGUGACUGUCCACACAGUCUGGGUAAUAUGGAAUGUAUUCUGGACACUGUAGUGACUGAUUAUUAAAGAUGUUGAUCCUGA